GGGUUAUUCAAAAGAGGGGUAAGGGGCAAAAUUGGAAUAAGAUAGUCCCAUGCGAUGUUUGGAGGAUGGAAUCUUCUGGAUUUGCAUGGAAAUUGGACGUACACACGGCCCUCGGUUUAGGCCUUUAGCAGAUUAUUUCACAAACUAUUUCCAGGCAAUGUGAAACGACGUGCUUUGCAACAGCAAAUCGCUAAAUGAGCCAAUAUUUCGCAGCUGAAAUUUGUGGGUUUGGUUAAUAAAACUUAAUGUAAUAGAAUGUUGAAUAAUUUAAAAAGAAACAUGUCUAGUUUGGAGAAUAUUAAUGUGAUUAACAAGGUACAAACGAGUUUGUUCUAAUGCUACACCUGAUGAACUUGGACGGAUUAUAUUUUACUA
Non-coding RNA from Erythranthe guttata (spotted monkey flower), 375 nucleotides. The record is from RefSeq and is a predicted model, not a curated record. NCBI's taxonomy places the organism in Eukaryota, Viridiplantae, Streptophyta, Magnoliopsida, Lamiales, Phrymaceae.